GACGAACGCUGGCGGCGUGCCUAAUACAUGCAAGUCGAGCGGAUCAAAGGGAGCUUGCUCCUGGAGGUCAGCGGCGAACGGGUGAGUAACACGUGGGCAACCUGCCUGUAAGACUGGGACAACAUCGAGAAAUCGGUGCUAAUACCGGAUAAUAAAAAGAACUGCAUGGUUCUUUUUGAAAGAUGGUUUCGGCUAUCACUUACAGAUGGGCCGCGGCGCAUUAGCUAGUUGGUGAGGUAACGGCUCACCAAGGCAACGAUGCGUAGCCGACCUGAGAGGGUGAUCGGCCACACUGGGACUGAGACACGGCCCAGACUCCUACGGGAGGCAGCAGUAGGGAAUCUUCCGCAAUGGACGAAAGUCUGACGGAGCAACGCCGCGUGAGUGAUGAAGGUUUUCGGAUCGUAAAACUCUGUUGUUAGGGAAGAACAAGUACCGUUCGAAAGGGCGGCACCUUGACGGUGCCUAACGAGAAAGCCACGGCUAACUACGUGCCAGCAGCCG
Molecule: ribosomal RNA, 504 nt
Filed under: uncultured bacterium
Lineage: Bacteria
Description: bacterial SSU rRNA
Rfam family: Bacterial small subunit ribosomal RNA
Source: RNAcentral